This 801-nucleotide unclassified non-coding RNA is filed under the name uncultured bacterium. RNAcentral describes it as "partial contains 16S ribosomal RNA, 16S-23S ribosomal RNA intergenic spacer, and 23S ribosomal RNA". The stretch from base 224 to 297 matches the Rfam family "tRNA". The record is from RNAcentral.
GUCGUAACAAGGUAGCCGUAGGGGAACCUGCGGCUGGAUCACCUCCUUUCUAAGGAUCUGGCAGAAAGCGCCGUCCCUUGCGGAUGGAAGAGCUUCUCCCACUCCAAAGAACAUGCCGUCGUCCUCAUGUCCCUUCAUCCUGGAGAUAGCACCGCAAGGUGCUGUAUGCCUGAGCUGGCUUAUCUGCCGCCCGCGGCCCAUUGGCCUGCUUGUGGCGCAGGAUGGGCCGGUAGCUCAGGUGGUUAGAGCGCACGCCUGAUAAGCGUGAGGUCGCAAGUUCAACUCUUGCUCGGCCCACCAUCCUUAUACGCCUUGGUUGCCAAGGGGGCCUUAGCUCAGCUGGGAGAGCGGUUGCUUUGCAAGCAUCAGGUCAUCGGUUCGAUCCCGAUAGGCUCCACCACUUGUUCGAGUGAAAUAAGGAACUUAUUUCACGUCUCGCGAACAAGUGCGGCCAGCGUGGAAAAGCACGCCAUAAGGCGUGGCUUUGCCACGACUGACGGCGUGUGGAAGCGCCAAGCUCACCAAGAUACUCCAGAGAUGAAGCGAAACGGUUCCGGCCUGCAAGGGUCGGUUACGCGGGAUCUGCCCGCGGUUCUUUGACAUUGUGAAUGGGUUUUUUAAUCGAUGCCGUGGCGCAUGGGUUUUCCAAGACGUUUGGAAGAUCGAUCAUGCGUUACAUACAGAUCAAUAUCUGGCUGAGAUUAUCGUCCGCACCUAGCACGACGCAGUCUUUAUGCAGGGCUGUCGUUGAUGGUGUGGAUUCUCAAGCGUGAGGUAAGAGCAUCUGGUGGAUGCCUUGGC